GACGAACGCUGGCGGCGUGCCUAAUACAUGCAAGUCGAACGGUUUAGUUCCAAGAGGCUUGCCUUUUGGAACUAGACAGUGGCGGACGGGUGAGUAACACGUAGGCAACCUACCUGUCAAACCGGGAUAACCCCGGAAAACCCAACCUAAACCCGGAUAAGCUCCUUUUUCGCAUGAAGGGGAGUGGAAAAGUUGCGCCCGGAUUCCAAAUGGCCCUGCGGCGCAUUAGCUAGUAGGUAGGGUAACGGCCUACCUAGGCGAUGAUGCGUAGCCGACCUGAGAGGGCGUACGGCCACACUGGGACUGAGAUACGGCCCAGACUCCUACGGGAGGCAGCAGUAGGGAAUCUUCGGCAAUGGGCGAAAGCCUGACCGAGCAACGCCGCGUGAGUGAGGAAGGCCUUCGGGUUGUAAAACUCUGUUGUUUGGGAAGAAGGGAAAGGGUAGGACCCUUAGGUGACGGUACCAAACGAGAAAGCCCCGGCUAACUACGUG
RNAcentral lists this ribosomal RNA (494 nucleotides) under uncultured bacterium. Its description in RNAcentral is "partial 16S ribosomal RNA". It matches the Rfam family "Bacterial small subunit ribosomal RNA", at positions 28 to 507 of the family's 1533-position model. The record is from RNAcentral.